AACGAACGCUGGCGGCAUGCCUAACACAUGCAAGUCGAACGAGACCUUCGGGUCUAGUGGCGCAUGGGUGCGUAACGCGUGGGAACCUGCCCUUAGGUUCGGAAUAACUCCCCGAAAGGGGUGCUAAUACCGGAUAAUGUCUUCGGACCAAAGAUUUAUCGCCUUUGGAUGGGCCCGCGUUGGAUUAGCUAGUUGGUAGGGUAAAAGCCUGCCAAGGCGACGAUCCAUAGCUGGUCUGAGAGGAUGAUCAGCCACACUGGGACUGAGACACGGCCCAGACUCCUACGGGAGGCAGCAGUGGGGAAUAUUGGACAAUGGGCGAAAGCCUGAUCCAGCAAUGCCGCGUGAGUGAUGAAGGCCUUAGGGUUGUAAAGCUCUUUUACCCGGGAUGAUAAUGACAGUACCGGGAGAAUAAGCUCCGGCUAACUCCGUG
This 433-nucleotide ribosomal RNA is filed under the name uncultured bacterium. Its description in RNAcentral is "partial 16S ribosomal RNA". It matches the Rfam family "Bacterial small subunit ribosomal RNA", at positions 29 to 507 of the family's 1533-position model. The record is from RNAcentral.